Molecule: long non-coding RNA, 455 nt
Filed under: Canis lupus familiaris (dog)
Lineage: Eukaryota; Metazoa; Chordata; Mammalia; Carnivora; Canidae
Description: lncRNA (ENSCAFG00040013845.1)
Source: RNAcentral
GCAAAGCUGCUGCAGCUUGGAAAGUCGAUACAGGAGGCCACAGGACGCAGCAACAGUGAGGGACAUGCCCAAGGUCACCUAGCCUGUUGGGGAGAGUCUGCCCUGGAAUGCAGGCUUCUGCUUUCCUCUGCUCCUUCCAGCAGGAUCCACGUGGCCAGACUCCUGCAUCAGGAGCAAAGCCCAACCAGGGAGCUGGCUGCUGUUUCCUCAACGGCGCUGAAGCUCUGUGGACUGAGGGCAGCCUGCCCACCUCGCUCUGUGCCCGGCCGAGCCCCUGACACCCAGCUCAGACGUCUCCUCUUCCGAACGGCCUUCCCCGAUCUCACCACAUCCCAGGAUGGAUCAGGAGCCCAUCCAGGCUCCUCCUGCCCACCGCAGCACCCAUCCUGACCAGCCAUGAGGGGAGAGCUGCUCUUCCUGCCCCCUCCCCCCGACACACCCGUGGGGGUGCCAGU